RNAcentral lists this ribosomal RNA (252 nucleotides) under uncultured bacterium. RNAcentral describes it as "partial 16S ribosomal RNA". It matches the Rfam family "Bacterial small subunit ribosomal RNA", at positions 524 to 776 of the family's 1533-position model. The record is from RNAcentral.
UACAGAGGUCUCAAGCGUUGUUCGGAUUCAUUGGGCGUAAAGGGUGCGUAGGCGGCGCGGUAAGUCGGGUGUGAAAUCUCGGAGCUUAACUCCGAAACUGCAUUCGAUACUGCCGUGCUUGAGGACUGGAGAGGAGACUGGAAUUUACGGUGUAGCGGUGAAAUGCGUAGAUAUCGUAAGGAAGACCAGUGGCGAAGGCGGGUCUCUGGACAGUUCCUGACACUGAGGCACGAAGGCCAGGGAGCAAACGGG